RNAcentral lists this ribosomal RNA (424 nucleotides) under uncultured bacterium. RNAcentral describes it as "bacterial SSU rRNA". It matches the Rfam family "Bacterial small subunit ribosomal RNA", at positions 355 to 796 of the family's 1533-position model. The record is from RNAcentral.
UUAGGAAUCUUGCGCAAUGGGCGAAAGCCUGACGCAGCCAUGCCGCGUGAAUGAUGAAGGUCUUAGGAUUGUAAAAUUCUUUCAGCGGGGAAGAUAAUGACGGUACCCGCAGAAGAAGCUCCGGCUAACUUCGUGCCAGCAGCCGCGGUAAUACGAAGGGGGCUAGCGUUGCUCGGAAUUACUGGGCGUAAAGGGCGCGUAGGCGGACAGUUAAGUCGGGGGUGAAAUCCCGGGGCUCAACCCCGGAACUGCCUUCGAUACUGGCUGUCUUGAGUUCGGGAGAGGUGAGUGGAAUGCCGAGUGUAGAGGUGAAAUUCGUAGAUAUUCGGCGGAACACCAGUGGCGAAGGCGACUCACUGGCCCGAUACUGACGCUGAUGCGCGAAAGCGUGGGGAGCAAACAGGAUUAGAUACCCCGGUAGUCC